GCGGGGAUAGCUCAGUUGGGAGAGCGUCAGACUGAAGCUUCAACUUCAUUCAUUCUUCUCAGGAUUAUCUGAAGGUCGUGCGUUCGAUCCGCACUCACCGCA
Non-coding RNA from Xylariaceae sp. FL0594, 102 nucleotides. The record is from the annotation of a GenBank genome assembly. Lineage: Eukaryota; Fungi; Ascomycota; Sordariomycetes; Xylariales; Xylariaceae.